UACGAAGGGGGCUAGCGUUGCUCGGAAUCACUGGGCGUAAAGGGUGCGUAGGCGGGUCUUUAAGUCAGGGGUGAAAUCCUGGAGCUCAACUCCAGAACUGCCUUUGAUACUGAGGAUCUUGAGUUCGGGAGAGGUGAGUGGAACUGCGAGUGUAGAGGUGAAAUUCGUAGAUAUUCGCAAGAACACCCGUGGCGAAGGCGGCUCUCUGGUACGUGACUGACGCUGAGACGGCGAAAGCGUUGGGGAGCAAACAGG
RNAcentral lists this ribosomal RNA (255 nucleotides) under uncultured bacterium. RNAcentral describes it as "partial 16S ribosomal RNA". It matches the Rfam family "Bacterial small subunit ribosomal RNA", at positions 524 to 776 of the family's 1533-position model. The record is from RNAcentral.